Molecule: ribosomal RNA, 933 nt
Filed under: Bacillus sp. P-8
Lineage: Bacteria; Bacillati; Bacillota; Bacilli; Caryophanales; Bacillaceae
Description: bacterial SSU rRNA
Rfam family: Bacterial small subunit ribosomal RNA
Source: RNAcentral
AGUCGAGCGGACAGAUGGGAGCUUGCUCCCUGAUGUUAGCGGCGGACGGGUGAGUAACACGUGGGUAACCUGCCUGUAAGACUGGGAUAACUCCGGGAAACCGGGGCUAAUACCGGAUGGUUGUUUGAACCGCAUGGUUCAAACAUAAAAGGUGGCUUCGGCUACCACUUACAGAUGGACCCGCGGCGCAUUAGCUAGUUGGUGAGGUAACGGCUCACCAAGGCAACGAUGCGUAGCCGACCUGAGAGGGUGAUCGGCCACACUGGGACUGAGACACGGCCCAGACUCCUACGGGAGGCAGCAGUAGGGAAUCUUCCGCAAUGGACGAAAGUCUGACGGAGCAACGCCGCGUGAGUGAUGAAGGUUUUCGGAUCGUAAAGCUCUGUUGUUAGGGAAGAACAAGUACCGUUCGAAUAGGGCGGUACCUUGACGGUACCUAACCAGAAAGCCACGGCUAACUACGUGCCAGCAGCCGCGGUAAUACGUAGGUGGCAAGCGUUGUCCGGAAUUAUUGGGCGUAAAGGGCUCGCAGGCGGUUUCUUAAGUCUGAUGUGAAAGCCCCCGGCUCAACCGGGGAGGGUCAUUGGAAACUGGGGAACUUGAGUGCAGAAGAGGAGAGUGGAAUUCCACGUGUAGCGGUGAAAUGCGUAGAGAUGUGGAGGAACACCAGUGGCGAAGGCGACUCUCUGGUCUGUAACUGACGCUGAGGAGCGAAAGCGUGGGGAGCGAACAGGAUUAGAUACCCUGGUAGUCCACGCCGUAAACGAUGAGUGCUAAGUGUUAGGGGGUUUCCGCCCCUUAGUGCUGCAGCUAACGCAUUAAGCACUCCGCCUGGGGAGUACGGUCGCAAGACUGAAACUCAAAGGAAUUGACGGGGGCCCGCACAAGCGGUGGAGCAUGUGUUUUAUUUCGAAGCAACGCGAAGACCCUUAC